UACGUAGGUGGCAAGCGUUGUCCGGAUUUAUUGGGUUUAAAGGGUGCGUAGGCGGCUUAUUAAGUCAGUGGUGAAAGACGAUAGCUUAACUAUCGAGGUGCCAUUGAUACUGAUAAGCUUGAGUACAGUUGAGGUAGGCGGAAUGGACGGUGUAGCGGUGAAAUGCAUAGAUAUCGUCCAGAACACCGAUAGUGAAGACAGCUUACCAAGCUGUAACUGACGCUGAGGCACGAAAGUGUGGGGAUCAAACAGG
RNAcentral lists this ribosomal RNA (253 nucleotides) under uncultured bacterium. Its description in RNAcentral is "partial 16S ribosomal RNA". It matches the Rfam family "Bacterial small subunit ribosomal RNA", at positions 524 to 776 of the family's 1533-position model. The record is from RNAcentral.